Molecule: small nucleolar RNA, 96 nt
Organism: Papaver somniferum (opium poppy)
Lineage: Eukaryota; Viridiplantae; Streptophyta; Magnoliopsida; Ranunculales; Papaveraceae
Product: small nucleolar RNA snoR26
Exons: 1
Source: RefSeq, a predicted model, not a curated record
ACAGCAUCAGUGAUGACAAAAACCUUGUAAUCAUCCUUGCACUUUGAAUUUUUAUAGUGAAGAAAACUAAUGGGGAAAUAUUAGUCUGAGAUGCUU